Long non-coding RNA from Rattus norvegicus (Norway rat), 448 nucleotides. NCBI's taxonomy places the organism in Eukaryota, Metazoa, Chordata, Mammalia, Rodentia, Muridae. The record is from Ensembl.
CUUUCCUUGGCCACGCCAGUUACCUGUGCGCCCAGAGAGGCAGCGGAUUCCACCGAAGAUAAAAACCCAGGCUAAGGCAUUCAAAGUUCACCCCAAAGCGCCUGUAUAACGUACCUUGUUCAGCUCCUGCUCAUAGACUCGUCCUCCGCCUGUCUGUGUGGUCCCGGAGGGUCGUGGAAGGAAGUUUCCAAAAUUGAGGCAAAGUCUCCUUUUUCCACAUCAACCUAAAAGUCCGGUGAAGACUCAGCAGAGCCUAGCAAGAGCGGAAUGGAGGUCUUUGGCUGGUUCAAGUCCCCGGUUCAAUGGGCUGCUCAGAGCCAGGACUGGGUAAUUCUUUCCAGACGCCUUGACUUCUCCUUCUUCGCUGUUGUUGCCUUUCUGCCUCCUCCAACUUAAGGGGGUCUUAACUAGUGAGCCGGUGGGUGUUUUAAAAGGACGGAGGAGGGAG